Molecule: long non-coding RNA, 2341 nt
Organism: Passer domesticus (house sparrow)
Lineage: Eukaryota; Metazoa; Chordata; Aves; Passeriformes; Passeridae
Exons: 6
Source: RefSeq, a predicted model, not a curated record
UGCAAAAGAGGAGGAGGCAUCCCACAUAGCUGAGAAUUCAGUAAAGGAGUCAGAAAUGUGGAGAAAGACGUAAAAGAAGAAGAAGAAGAAAAAGAAGAAGAAGAAACAAGGGGAUCUCCUUGGAUUUUCUCUGUCCUCACAUUAAGCUGGGGACUCCUGCAUUGCCAUGAAGGCUGGGGAGAAAGGAGAGCAGGAGAAGAGCAGCACCUCUCCUGGGAUCAUUGGAGCUCAGUGCUGGCGCCCAGCCCAGCCAGACCUGGAGCUGCAGCACCCUGAGCACCACAGCUGAGGGGAGCAGUGCCUGCCCGAGCCUCUGGGCACUCACCCAGCAAACCUCGCAGCUGGAACACCAGUAUUCCCGAGUAGGAUCUUCCUAGUGAAGAAAAGCAAGCAGCUCAGAAAUUUUCUAAAGAACAACAAUAUUUUAUGAACUGUGAUUGUGGGCUAAUGGGUGAAAUCCCCAGGGAUUAGCUUCCCAAAGGGCAUGCAGAUUGCUCAGAAGGAGGCAUGGUAUAAAGAGCCUCAGGCUCCAAACCACCAACCAGGAGCCUACUUUUUAGUGUGAAAACUCUGCAGCGCAGAUUGUGGAUUUAGCAGAGUAAAACUCCAGCCUGCACAGACUUGUUUACAGCUCAGGAGUUUAUCUGGAAUUGAACUGAGAGAUUCGAGAUCUGGUGAACUAAUCUCAGUUCCUAACUAACCACUGUGUGACUUCUGAAACAGCUGCUGGUAGAACAGAUGGAUUUGACCUAAAAUGCUUUUUGAGAAUAUGACUGGUCCUAAGACCAGAAGGUAUGGAAAAAUUACAGGCAAACAAGCUACGUAACAAGGAGUGUAACAACAUUUCCAAGGAUAAAUCAUUGGUUGUACCCUAAAUCGAUACCAGAAAGAUCAAAAAAUUGGAAGCCCAAGGAUAUUCAGGGUGAUGUAGAAUUUUGACAGGAAAUGUUGUCUGUGCUCCCCAAAGGUCACUGGAACACAGAGCUUAACACAUAUUUAUCUGUCAUCUCAGCUGUCAUCUCAGACAGAGAUUAACUCAUUUGGCUCCUUGAGUCCAGCACUUGACCAACACUGACCUGUGCCAUGGAUGCCUCGACUUGUAUCCAGCUACAGCAGUCUACAGCUGCUUGUUUCCUGCUUCAGAACAAGCCCAGCUGCAUUACCUGAAUGAAGCAAUAUUGACUAACAACAACAACAACAACAAACAAAAAAAAAAUUGGCACUAAGAAGCAGGAGCUGGAUUGACAACUGUGAUAGACAAGUAAAGACUGUAGUUGUUAUUGUUUAAUUGCCAUGGCAACUAAACAUGGCUUUUUUGCUGAAAUAAUAUCAUGGUAACACCUUACUCAAUGUAAAAAAAUAAUAAUCAGUCAACUUAGAUUGCUAUCAGGACUGAACUCAAGUGAAAACUGUACACUUGGAAAAGAAAGGUUAAUAAAAAACACAGAACAGAAAACAAGGUUAGAGGUGAUGUUUUGCCUGUGAGGGGUUUUUCAGAAUGCAGAAGAAAAAGAUUAGUUCCAGAGACAAGAUGAGCAUUAGCUCCCUGGUUUCUGCUUUCUACCAAUAACCUUUUUAGAGUCAUUCCAAAGCACACAAAAGUGCCUGCAGCCAUAAUGCCACCUUCAACUUCUGCUAUCUAUCCCAGAUUUCAAUACAUAUUGCUAUCAAUACUUUUUUUUUGCAAUCUUUUGAAGCAGCUACAAAUUAUAAUUGUUUCACACAUUUAUUAGAAAUUUGGAUCUUUUAGGUAAUCUGACAGUGUUUCAUGUGCUCCUUUUUCACUUACUGGAAAAACCAAAAGUUUGUGAAAUCACAGCUGUGGCACUGGCAUUUCUCUCUUUUUUUGGAUUAUGACUGCGUAAACUAAACCAUGAAACAAUUGCACUGGCUCAUUUUGAUGCAUUUUCUUCUAUUGUGACACUGUUAUAUUAAAAUAAAGACUAAAAGAAUGCACCAUGAGAAAAAUAAAACACUUGAUCAACUCAGUUCUUCCUACUGUUUGCUAUGCAUCUCCUUAUAUUACUUUUUUAAUAUUUUAUAAGCAUUAAAAUAGCUGAAUCUGAAGAUUUUAUUUAUCCCUAUCUUAUAAACAUUUUUCAUGCUGAGAACUGCACAGGAACAAAGAAUAUUUGUAAAGCUCAAAGCCAGUGCACCUUAACUUAUAAGAGAAAUAAGAAUUAAAAAACUUACUGAAGAAAAAGCAGUGAUUUAUAUUUUCAGUUGUUAGGCAAAGUUUAUCUGCUUGAUCCCAGUUAAAUUCUUUGAGAAAAGGUAUAUACUUUGAAGACCUGGCAAAUAAAUAUUACAUGAAAUUGAGCACCUACUGUUUUACAAAUGC